GGCUGUAGCUCAGUGGUAGAGCAUUUGUCUAACAUAUGUGAGAUCCUGGGUUUGAUCCCCAGCACUG
Molecule: transfer RNA, 67 nt
Filed under: Marmota monax (woodchuck)
Lineage: Eukaryota; Metazoa; Chordata; Mammalia; Rodentia; Sciuridae
Description: tRNA.Val
Rfam family: tRNA
About the family: Transfer RNA (tRNA) molecules are approximately 80 nucleotides in length. Their secondary structure includes four short double-helical elements and three loops (D, anti-codon, and T loops).
Source: RNAcentral